Molecule: non-coding RNA, 204 nt
Filed under: Zea mays
Lineage: Eukaryota; Viridiplantae; Streptophyta; Magnoliopsida; Poales; Poaceae
Source: RNAcentral
AAUUCAUUCCUCGCUCUCUCCAUCUCUCUACCCUCUCCCUCUCUCUCGGAUAGCUAGCUCUUCUUCCUCCUUCCUCCGUUUGGAUCAGACGAGAGGGUAUGUAGUGGUGCACCACGAGUUGGUGAAGCUGCCAGCAUGAUCUGGUUAUGAUGGUGGUGGUAUAUGUAAGAUGGAUGUAAUCUAUACUACUACCGGCCCCUGUCA